CUACGGGAGGCAGCAGUAAGGAAUAUUGCUCAAUGGGAGAAAUCCUGAAGCAGCAACGCCGCGUGAAGGAUGAAGACCUUAUGGUUGUAAACUUCUGUAGAUGGGGAGAAAUUUCCGGCUCUGCCGGAUUUGAUAGUACCCAUAAAGUAAGCCCCGGCUAACUACGUGCCAGCAGCCGCGGUAAUACGUAGGGGGCAAGCGUUGUCCGGAUUUACUGGGUGUAAAGGGUGCUCAGGUGGUUGCGCAAGUCAGAGGUGAAAUCCUAGAGCUUAACUCUGGAACUGCCUUUGAUACUGCGCGGCUUGUGUACGGAAGAGGCUGAUGGAAUUCCUGGUGUAGCAGUGAAAUGCGUAGAUAUCAGGAAGAACACCAGUGGCGAAGGCGGUCAGCUGGUCCGUUACAGACACUAAAGCACGAAAGCGUGGGGAGCAAACAGGAUUAGAUACCCCUGUA
RNAcentral lists this ribosomal RNA (453 nucleotides) under uncultured bacterium. RNAcentral describes it as "bacterial SSU rRNA". It matches the Rfam family "Bacterial small subunit ribosomal RNA", at positions 339 to 792 of the family's 1533-position model. The record is from RNAcentral.